RNAcentral lists this ribosomal RNA (253 nucleotides) under uncultured bacterium. Its description in RNAcentral is "partial 16S ribosomal RNA". It matches the Rfam family "Bacterial small subunit ribosomal RNA", at positions 524 to 776 of the family's 1533-position model. The record is from RNAcentral.
GACAGAGGGUGCAAACGUUGUUCGGAAUUACUGGGCGUAAAGCGCGUGUAGGCGGCUUGUCACGUCGGAUGUGAAAGCCCGAGGCUUAACCUCGGGUCUGCAUUCGAUACGGGCUAGCUAGAGUGUGGUAGGGGAGAUCGGAAUUCCUGGUGUAGCGGUGAAAUGCGCAGAUAUCAGGAGGAACACCGAUGGCGAAGGCAGGUCUCAGGGCCACUACUGACGCUGAGAAGCGAAAGCAUGGGGAGCGAACAGG